CUUCAGUCGACGCUGGAUUGUUGAGUGACACAGUCAGUACAUCCCCAGCUGUGAGGAACCUGGGAAGGAGUGUGUUGCGGGAGCAGAGCACAGUUGUAAAUAUUGAGUGUUGGGAUUUCACCUCUCACCAUGGACCACAAGCACAGUGUCAUAGUCCGGUAAUCCUCUGGAUGUCAGUGCUUCCAGCUGCUACACCUGCUGCUUAAUCCGCUGGUCAACUCGCAGAUCCUCCACAGCUCUUUACCUGCCCAGUAGAGAUCCUUCAUGGAUUCACCUGUUCUCACACCCGGGCCACUUACCCCCCUCCACGCUUCGUGUUCACCUGCAUUAAAUGACUGUAAGGUUUCUUUUUUCCUUGACUUGAUCUCACGGUUCCUGCUCCAGAUGUUACCCGGUGUCGGGUUCCCCCCUUCGGUCCGCGACAACCCCAAGAGACUCUCACGGACCCCACUCCCCUGUUUAGUGAUAAACAGUGAUAGACCAGUGUCUCGUUUUUUUUUUUUGUUUUUUUUUUUUAAGUUUAGGUUGCUCAGCCCGUUAGAGUCUGUUUCACAGUGUGUCAUUAAAGCGUUUGAAUGUUGCCCUUAGAUUAAUAGUGUAGUUUUGUUCACAGUACCUUCAUAGAAAUAGCGUAUCUUCAUAGUAUUGCGGCUAAGAGCCCGCUCACAGUAUUUCUCCUUUUAAGAAGUUAAGUUGCACUUCCAGCGUACAACUUUAAUCCCGCCUUCUGUAAUGUGUUAAGUUACUUUAACUUAGUAUCCUGUCUCGCCUUCUCUUAGUUUAUAGUGGAUGUGUUAUGUGUGUUUUGUAUCCUUGUGCAUUUAGUCUUAUCUUUCG
Molecule: long non-coding RNA, 837 nt
Organism: Oreochromis aureus
Lineage: Eukaryota; Metazoa; Chordata; Actinopteri; Cichliformes; Cichlidae
Exons: 4
Source: RefSeq, a predicted model, not a curated record